Molecule: ribosomal RNA, 253 nt
Filed under: uncultured bacterium
Lineage: Bacteria
Description: partial 16S ribosomal RNA
Rfam family: Bacterial small subunit ribosomal RNA
Source: RNAcentral
UACGGAGGGAGCUAGCGUUGUUCGGAAUUACUGGGCGUAAAGCGCGCGUAGGCGGCUUUGUAAGUUAGAGGUGAAAGCCCGGGGCUCAACUCCGGAAUUGCCUUUAAAACUGCAUCGCUAGAAUUGUGGAGAGGUAAGUGGAAUUCCGAGUGUAGAGGUGAAAUUCGUAGAUAUUCGGAAGAACACCAGUGGCGAAGGCGACUUACUGGACACAUAUUGACGCUGAGGUGCGAAAGCGUGGGGAGCAAACAGG